This 135-nucleotide ribosomal RNA is filed under the name Photorhabdus temperata. RNAcentral describes it as "partial 23S ribosomal RNA". The stretch from base 1 to 118 matches the Rfam family "Bacterial large subunit ribosomal RNA", at positions 2812 to 2925 of the family's 2925-position model. The record is from RNAcentral. Lineage: Bacteria; Pseudomonadati; Pseudomonadota; Gammaproteobacteria; Enterobacterales; Morganellaceae.
UCCCUUGACUGUGAGGUCACGGAAGGAACGUUUAAGACGAAGACGUGGAUAGGCUGGGUGUGUAAGUGCAGCGAUGCAUUGAGCUGACCAGUACUAAUGAACCGAGCGGCUUAACCUUACAACACCGAAGGUGUU